AACGAACGCUGGCGGCAUGCCUAACACAUGCAAGUCGAACGACACCUUCGGGUCUAUUGGCGCACGGGUGCGUAACGCGUGGGAACCUGCCCUUAGGUUCGGAAUAACUCCCCGAAAGGGGUUCUCAUACCGGAUAAUGUCUUCGUACCAAAGAUUUAUCGCCUUUGGAUGGGCGCGCUUUGGAUUAGCUAGUUGGUAGGGUAAAAGCCUACCAAGGCGACGAUCGAUAGCUGGUCUGAGAGAAUGAUCAGCCACACUGGGACUGGGACACGGCCGAGAAUACUACGGGAGGGAGGAGAGGGGAAUAUAGGAAAAUGGGGUAAAGGCUGAACCAGCAAGGCCGGGAGAGUGAUGAAGGUCUUAGAGUUGUAAAGCUGUUUUACCCGGGAGGAGAAUGACAGUACCGGAAGAAUAAGCUCCGGCUAACUCCGUG
RNAcentral lists this ribosomal RNA (433 nucleotides) under uncultured bacterium. Its description in RNAcentral is "partial 16S ribosomal RNA". It matches the Rfam family "Bacterial small subunit ribosomal RNA", at positions 29 to 507 of the family's 1533-position model. The record is from RNAcentral.